RNAcentral lists this transfer RNA (35 nucleotides) under Delma australis (marble-faced Delma). Its description in RNAcentral is "partial tRNA-Asn". The record is from RNAcentral. Lineage: Eukaryota; Metazoa; Chordata; Lepidosauria; Squamata; Pygopodidae.
CUAAAGAUUUAUGGGAUCGAGGCCCGUCGGUCUAG